This 436-nucleotide ribosomal RNA is filed under the name uncultured bacterium. Its description in RNAcentral is "bacterial SSU rRNA". It matches the Rfam family "Bacterial small subunit ribosomal RNA", at positions 360 to 773 of the family's 1533-position model. The record is from RNAcentral.
AAUAUUCCACAAUGGGCGCAAGCCUGAUGGAGCGACGCCGCGUGAGGGAAGAAGCCUUUCGGGGUGUAAACCUCUUUUUUCGGGGAUGACAGGGCCGGGGGGCCUUGCGCAAGCAAGGUAAGCCCCGGCAUACGACAGUCCCCGAAGAAUAAGCCCCGGCUAACUCCGUGCCAGCAGCCGCGGUAAUACGGGGGGGGCAAGCGUUGUUCGGAAUUACUGGGCGUAAAGGGCUCGUAGGUGGCCAACUAAGUCGGACGUGAAAUCCCUCGGCUUAACCGGGGAACUGCGUCCGAUACUGGUUGGCUUGAGUUUGGGAGAGGGAUGCGGAAUUCCAGGUGUAGCGGUGAAAUGCGUAGAUAUCUGGAGGAACACCGGUGGCGAAGGCGGCAUCCUGGACCAAUACUGACGCUGAGACGCGAAAGCGUGGGGAGCAAAC